RNAcentral lists this ribosomal RNA (743 nucleotides) under uncultured bacterium. RNAcentral's name for it is "bacterial SSU rRNA". It matches the Rfam family "Bacterial small subunit ribosomal RNA", at positions 94 to 823 of the family's 1533-position model. The record is from RNAcentral.
AGCGGCGGAUGGGUGAGUAACACGUGGGGAACCUGCCCCUAAGUCUGGGAUACCAUUUGGAAACAGGUGCUAAUACCGGAUAAUAAAGCAGAUCGCAUGAUCAGCUUUUGAAAGGCGGCGUAAGCUGUCGCUAAGGGAUGGCCCCGCGGUGCAUUAGCUAGUUGGUAAGGUAACGGCUUACCAAGGCGACGAUGCAUAGCCGAGUUGAGAGACUGAUCGGCCACAUUGGGACUGAGACACGGCCCAAACUCCUACGGGAGGCAGCAGUAGGGAAUCUUCCACAAUGGACGCAAGUCUGAUGGAGCAACGCCGCGUGAGUGAAGAAGGUUUUCGGAUCGUAAAGCUCUGUUGUUGGUGAAGAAGGAUAGAGGUAGUAACUGGCCUUUAUUUGACGGUAAUCAACCAGAAAGUCACGGCUAACUACGUGCCAGCAGCCGCGGUAAUACGUAGGUGGCAAGCGUUGUCCGGAUUUAUUGGGCGUAAAGCGAGCGCAGGCGGAAAAAUAAGUCUAAUGUGAAAGCCCUCGGCUUAACCGAGGAACUGCAUCGGAAACUGUUUUUCUUGAGUGCAGAAGAGGAGAGUGGAACUCCAUGUGUAGCGGUGGAACGCGUAGAUAUAUGGAAGAACACCAGUGGCGAAGGCGGCUCUCUGGUCUGCAACUGACGCUGAGGCUCGAAAGCAUGGGUAGCGAACAGGAUUAGAUACCCUGGUAGUCCAUGCCGUAAACGAUGAGUGCUAAGUGU